CGAACUUUGUGGGUGUUUAUGUAA
RNAcentral lists this non-coding RNA (24 nucleotides) under Arabidopsis thaliana (thale cress). Lineage: Eukaryota; Viridiplantae; Streptophyta; Magnoliopsida; Brassicales; Brassicaceae. The record is from RNAcentral.